Molecule: long non-coding RNA, 466 nt
Filed under: Capsella grandiflora
Lineage: Eukaryota; Viridiplantae; Streptophyta; Magnoliopsida; Brassicales; Brassicaceae
Description: long non-coding RNA (CGRA_LNC001388)
Source: RNAcentral
AACAACUAAAUAUAUGAAAAUAAAAAAUACCAAGAAUAUUCUAAGUUCCGUUAGUAUUAAUAUAAAUAAGAGAAGAAUCUAUUGAUGGUGUAUAAUCCUCCCAAAAUAUUAUUAGCGAUAAACACAUUUUUUCUAUCAAAAAAAUGGCAGAAACUAAUGACAACCAAUGUGGUCUUCAAUAAAGUGUUCAAGAACCUUUAAAUUUUUUCUUUUCAUUUUCUGCAAGUAUGACUUUGGUUACAUUUCUUUUAAAUACCAUCUUCAAGACUUUCUCAUUAUAAACUUUGGUUUUCCAAUUCAACAAUUUCUAUUAUACUACUCCAGUUAACAAAUGCAAUCAUUAAUCCUUCAACUAAAUGAAUAAAAAAAAUUUAUAAAAAGCCAAAUCACAUUACAUUAUUUAACUAAACCAGCAAACUAUGCUUUGAAAAUACACCCGCACGUACGUGCGGGUUAUCAUCUAGUU